RNAcentral lists this ribosomal RNA (374 nucleotides) under uncultured eukaryote. RNAcentral's name for it is "partial 18S ribosomal RNA". It matches the Rfam family "Eukaryotic small subunit ribosomal RNA", at positions 592 to 976 of the family's 1831-position model. The record is from RNAcentral.
UAAUAGUGUAUAUUAAAGUUGUUGCAGUUAAAAAGCUCGUAGUUGAAUGUUGGUGUCGAACGAGCGGUCAGCUUCGGCUGUACUGCUCUCUCGACUCCUUCCUUCUGUGGACUACGUCGCACUUUACUGUGUGGCGCUAGGACGCAGAUCGUUUACUGUGAAAAAAUUAGAGUGUUCAAAGCAGGCCGUACGCUUGAAUACAUUAGCAUGGAAUAAUGGAAUAGGACGUCGGGCCUAUUUUGUUGGUUCUAGGACCGUCGUAAUGAUUAAUAGGGACAGUUGGGGCCGUUUAUAUUCCGUAGUCAGAGGUGAAAUUCUUGGAUUUAUGAAAGACGAACGACUGCGAAAGCAUUUACCAAGGAUGUUUUCAUUAA